This 647-nucleotide ribosomal RNA is filed under the name Uroobovella sp. OSAL014198. RNAcentral describes it as "eukaryotic LSU rRNA". It matches the Rfam family "Eukaryotic large subunit ribosomal RNA", at positions 2284 to 2897 of the family's 3401-position model. Lineage: Eukaryota; Metazoa; Arthropoda; Arachnida; Mesostigmata; Urodinychidae. The record is from RNAcentral.
CAAAUGCCUCGUCAUCUAAUUAGUGACGCGCAUGAAUGGAUUAAUGAGAUUCCUACUGUCCCUACCUACUAUCUAGCGAAACCGCAGCCAGGGGAACGGACCUGGAAGAAAUGGCGGGGAAAGAAGACCCUGUUGAUCUUGACUCUAGUCUGACGUUGUGAAGAAACAUGAGAGGUGUAGCAUAAGUGGGAGUCGUGGCAACACGACGACAAUGAAAUACCACUACUCUCAUUGUUUCUUUACUUACGGGGUAAUACGGAAAACGGACUUCGGUCCUUUUUUCUAGUGUUACACGAUAAGAGAGGUAUGCUAUUUUAUAUAACAUAUCGCUCCACGUUGUUCGCACCCCGGACAGCGUCAGGUAGGGAGUUCGACUGGGGCGGUACAUCUGUCAAAUGGUAACGCAGGUGUCCUAAGGCGAGCUCAGUGAGGACAGAAACCUCACGUAGAGCAAAAGGGCAAAUGCUCGCUUGAUUCGAAUUCUCAGUACGAAUGCGAACCUUGAAAGAGGGGCCUCUCGAUCCUUUUAUUUUUACGAGUUUUAAGUAAGAGGUGUCAGAAAAGUUACNACAGGGAUAACUGGCUCGUGGCGGCCAAGCGUCCAUAGCGACGUCGCUUGUUGAUCCUUCGAUGUCGGCUCUUCCUAU